CUGAUUGACGAUGGAUCACCAGUGAGUGGCGGACGGGUGAGUAACACGUAGGUAACCUGCCCCGGAGCGGGGGAUAACAUUUGGAAACAGAUGCUAAUACCGCAUAACAACAAAAGCCGCAUGGCUUUUGUUUGAAAGAUGGCUUUAGCUAUCACUCUGGGAUGGACCUGCGGUGCAUUAGCUAGUUGGUAAGGUAACGGCUUACCAAGGCGAUGAUGCAUAGCCGAGUUGAGAGACUGAUCGGCCACAAUGGAACUGAGACACG
This 265-nucleotide ribosomal RNA is filed under the name Limosilactobacillus balticus. Its description in RNAcentral is "Limosilactobacillus sp. BG-AF3-A partial 16S ribosomal RNA". It matches the Rfam family "Bacterial small subunit ribosomal RNA", at positions 70 to 328 of the family's 1533-position model. The record is from RNAcentral. Lineage: Bacteria; Bacillati; Bacillota; Bacilli; Lactobacillales; Lactobacillaceae.